GGUGAACGCUGGCGGCGUGCCUAAUACAUGCAAGUCGAGCGAACAGACGAGGAGCUUGCUCCUCUGACGUUAGCGGCGGACGGGUGAGUAACACGUGGAUAACCUACCUAUAAGACUGGGAUAACUUCGGGAAACCGGAGCUAAUACCGGAUAACAUGUUGAACCGCAUGGUUCAACAGUGAAAGACGGUCUUGCUGUCACUUAUAGAUGGAUCCGCGCCGCAUUAGCUAGUUGGUAAGGUAACGGCUUACCAAGGCAACGAUGCGUAGCCGACCUGAGAGGGUGAUCGGCCACACUGGAACUGAGACACGGUCCAGACUCCUACGGGAGGCAGCAGUAGGGAAUCUUCCGCAAUGGGCGAAAGCCUCACGGAGCAACGCCGCGUGAGUGAAGAAGGUCUUCGGAUCGUAAAACUCUGUUAUUAGGGAAGAACAAAUGUGUAAGUAACUAUGCACGUCUUGACGGUACCUAAUCAGAAAGCCACGGCUAACUACGUG
RNAcentral lists this ribosomal RNA (497 nucleotides) under uncultured bacterium. RNAcentral's name for it is "partial 16S ribosomal RNA". It matches the Rfam family "Bacterial small subunit ribosomal RNA", at positions 28 to 507 of the family's 1533-position model. The record is from RNAcentral.